GUUCUGAAAUGAAAGAGUAAAGCCCUUUCUGAGCAUACAAAGAGCACUGCAUUAAGGACUGCAGCCUACAACCUUUCAGGCAGUCCUCCAGAACUGCUGUGCCCUCUUUAUUUGUCCAGCACAGGCAGAAGACAGGAGGAGGAAAGUGUUCCCUGGCAAGUGCUAAAGUGAGACUUUGGUAUACGGAAAAGAAAUCUUUCCUGGUGUUUGUUUUGGCAGGAAUAGUUUUAGCAGACACUCUUACAAUCCCAUCCACUUGCAGAGCAAGGCUGCAGCUCACAUAUUAUUAAAACUCCAGGGCUAAUCUCUUUCCAUACAUCGAUAUUACCGGAGCUAGCAGAACACAAGCAAAGUUGUUGGGUCAGCAAAGACUUUUUUUCUUUACAAAAUACAAUAAUAUUUUCUCUAAAUAAAGAGAGUUGGUUGGCUUCAAGCAAGGGGGACAACAAGGUCCUUCUAAAUGACAAUCCUGGGCAUUCAAAGUUGAAACCCCAUAGCUUUCAUUCCCAGGCAUUCAAGCUGCCAGCAGAUGCACUGUCUCAUUGCCUGAGCUUGCACAAGUGACCAGGGAGCCUGGGAGAGGCAGAUGACCCUCUUCUAUCAUUAGAGCUGCACUUCAAGAACCAUAGCAUACGAACAUCUGCAUCAGUGGAGAAGAGGAUACAUCUUCUGAGUGCAUAUGCUGGUGUCCUUAUUAGAGCUGCUGAGUUUUCUCUGUGAAUUAACUCUUGUAAACAGUGCUACAGCAAUGUGCCGGCAGAGACUAUAUUGAAAGACUGCUGAAAUCCAAGGCCUACAUCUAUAGGGUUGUGUGGGCAUAAGCAUCAUAGAAACAAGUUGCCCUGGAGAUACCCCAGCUUCUCUGACGAGCAUUCACGCAUGGAGCAGCUCCUUUGGAACCCUCCUGAGAACAAUUCUCUUCUUUCUGUUGCCAUCAUUCUUCAUGUCUUGCUCACAGAAGCUAAUGUGGCUAUAGCACACCAGUCAGCCCCAAGUUUACAAGAUGAACUCUGCCUUGAAUGUGAUUAUUACUUGCACCAGGAGAGAUACUAG
This 1053-nucleotide long non-coding RNA is filed under the name Parus major (Great Tit). RNAcentral's name for it is "lncRNA (ENSPMJG00000000838.1)". The record is from RNAcentral. Lineage: Eukaryota; Metazoa; Chordata; Aves; Passeriformes; Paridae.